This 92-nucleotide transfer RNA is filed under the name Lentisphaerota bacterium. Its description in RNAcentral is "Lentisphaerae bacterium (feces metagenome) tRNA-Ser". It matches the Rfam family "tRNA". Rfam says of the family: Transfer RNA (tRNA) molecules are approximately 80 nucleotides in length. Their secondary structure includes four short double-helical elements and three loops (D, anti-codon, and T loops). RNAcentral also lists the same sequence under 1 other name. Lineage: Bacteria; Pseudomonadati; Lentisphaerota. The record is from RNAcentral.
GGAGAGAUGCCUGAGUGGCCGAAAGGAACGGUUUGCUAAACCGUCGUAGGGGUCAAACUCUACCGCGGGUUCGAAUCCCGCUCUCUCCGCCA